Molecule: ribosomal RNA, 1474 nt
Filed under: uncultured Bordetella sp.
Lineage: Bacteria; Pseudomonadati; Pseudomonadota; Betaproteobacteria; Burkholderiales; Alcaligenaceae
Description: partial 16S-23S ribosomal RNA intergenic spacer
Rfam family: Bacterial small subunit ribosomal RNA
Source: RNAcentral
GGUUUGAUUCUGGCUCAGAUUGAACGCUGGCAGGAUGCUUUACACAUGCAAGUCGAACGGCAGCACGGACUUCGGUCUGGUGGCGAGUGAACAGGUGAGUAAUGUGUCGGAACGUGCUGUGCUUGGGGAUAACUACGCAGCGUAGCUAAUACCCGCAUACGCCCUUCGAGGGAAAGCGGGGGACCUUCGGGCCUCGCACUAUUAGAGCAGCCAUUAUCGGAUUAGCUAGUUGGUGGGGUAACGGCUCACCAAGGCAUUGAUCCGUAGCUGGUUGAGAGGACGACCAGCCAUGGGACUGAGACGGCCCAGACUCCUACGGCGGGAGGCAGCAGUGGGGAAUUUUGGACAAUGGGGAAACCUGAUCCAGCCAUCCCGCGUGUGCGAUGAAGGCUGCUUCAGGUUGUCAGCACUUUUGGCAGGAAAAACUGGCACGGGAUAAUACCGCAUGCAACUAAUAAUACCUGCAGAAUAAGCACCGGCUAACUACGUGCCAGCAGCCGCGGUAAUACGUAGGGUGCAAGCGUUAAUCUUGGGCGUAAAGCGAGUAGCAGGCGGUUCGGAAAGAAGAUGUGAUCCGGGAAGCUUAACUUUGGAACUGCAUUUUUAACUACCGAGCUAGAGUGUGUCCCAGAAAGGAGGUGGAAUUCCGCGUGUAGCAGUGAAAUGCGUAGAUAUGCGGAAGAGACACCGAUGGCGAAACAGCCUGUCCUGGAUAACACUGACAUCAUGCACGAAAGCGAUAGAACAAACAGGAUUAGAUACCCCGGUAGUCCACGCCCUGUAGCGAUGUCAACUAGCUGUUGGGGCCUUCGGGCCUUGGUAGCGCAGCUAACGCGUGAAGUUGACCGCCUGGGGAAGUACGAUUACUUAAGAUUAAAACUCAAAGGAAUUGACGGGGACACACAAGCGGUGGAUGAUGUGGAUUAAUUCGAUGCAACGCGAAAAACCUUACCUACCCUUGGCAUGUCUGGAAUCCCGAAGAGAUUUGGAGUCGCGCCAUUAGAGAACCGGAACACAGGUGCUGCAUGGCUACAUCGUCAGCUCGUGUCUCGUGAGAUGUUGAGUUAAGUCCACUACAGCGAGCGCAACCCUUUGUCAUUAGGUUGCUACGAAAGGGCACUCUAAUGAGACUGCCGGUGACAAACCGGAGGAAGGUGGGGGAUGACGUCGUCCUCGCAGCCCUUAUGGUGGGGCUUCACACGUCAUACAAUGGUCAAGGACGGUCGCCCAACCGCGAGGGAGCAAUCCCGAAGCCCCGAUCGUAGUCGGAUCGCGGUCGCAGCUCGACUGCGUGAAGUCCGGAAUCGCUGCGAAGUAAUCGCGGAUCAGCAUGUCGCGGUGAAUACGUUCGAAGGUCUUGUACCACCGCCCGUCACACCAUGGAAUUAGGUUUACCAGAAGUAGUUAGCCUAACCGUAAGGAGGGCGGUACUGCGACCAGGAUUCGUGACUGGGGUGAAGUCGUAACAAGGUAG